UAAUUCCGUCACUAAAUCCCACAAUCUCUCUGCCUCAGCCGCCUCCAACGCCGUCACCUUCUCCCUGCACUCCGCCAAUCUCUUCAAACAACAACCCAAUUCCACCGCCUCCCCAAAGUCGAACAACCCCAAUCCGAAUCACCACUGCCUACAAAACAAUAACAUUCAAUCAAUUUGAUCCACCAAGGAAAAUAAAUCACCAAGCCAAGCACAGAUACCUCCACGAAAAAAACAAACAAACUAGUGCACGGUGCACCGCUUGGAGGCAGUGGAUGGGAUGAGAAAUCCAUAGAUGAAUUUCAUCUCUUGAUCUUCAUCAUCAACAUACCCAAAAACAAACCCCCAUCCAGAUACAUCUCCAAAAAC
RNAcentral lists this long non-coding RNA (366 nucleotides) under Lotus japonicus. Its description in RNAcentral is "long non-coding RNA (LJAP_LNC001685)". The record is from RNAcentral. Lineage: Eukaryota; Viridiplantae; Streptophyta; Magnoliopsida; Fabales; Fabaceae.